RNAcentral lists this ribosomal RNA (402 nucleotides) under uncultured bacterium. RNAcentral's name for it is "bacterial SSU rRNA". It matches the Rfam family "Bacterial small subunit ribosomal RNA", at positions 355 to 774 of the family's 1533-position model. The record is from RNAcentral.
UGGGGAAUAUUGGACAAUGGGCGAAAGCCUGAUCCAGCCAUGCCGCGUGAGUGAUGAAGGCCCUAGGGUUGUAAAGCUCUUUUGUGCGGGAAGAUAAUGACGGUACCGCAAGAAUAAGCCCCGGCUAACUUCGUGCCAGCAGCCGCGGUAAUACGAAGGGGGCUAGCGUUGCUCGGAAUCACUGGGCGUAAAGGGUGCGUAGGCGGGUUUCUAAGUCAGAGGUGAAAGCCUGGAGCUCAACUCCAGAACUGCCUUUGAUACUGGAAGUCGUGAGUUCGGGAGAGGUGAGUGGAACUGCGAGUGUAGAGGUGAAAUUCGUAGAUAUUCGCAAGAACACCAGUGGCGAAGGCGGCUCACUGGCCCGAUACUGACGCUGAGGCACGAAAGCGUGGGGAGCAAACA